Molecule: transfer RNA, 74 nt
Filed under: Camelus bactrianus (Bactrian camel)
Lineage: Eukaryota; Metazoa; Chordata; Mammalia; Artiodactyla; Camelidae
Also listed under: 1 other name
Rfam family: tRNA
About the family: Transfer RNA (tRNA) molecules are approximately 80 nucleotides in length. Their secondary structure includes four short double-helical elements and three loops (D, anti-codon, and T loops).
Source: Rfam by way of RNAcentral
GAGGGUAUAGCUCAGUGGUAGAGCGCAUAUGCCUAGUGUGCACGAGGUCCUGGAUUCAAUCCCCAGUACCUCCA